UGAUGACUUGUAAGCAGCUCACUAUAUUUUAAUACCGAACUAUCUAAGUUUCUAACUUAGUGACUGAAAGAUACUAGGUGCAGUCAAGUACUUAUCAAGUCGGUGUAUGAGUCAAGAUGAAAUUGAUCCUUCUGAAUUGGUAGGAGAUAUGCAUCAGUGUAUUUUAAUUUAGCAAAACCUUGGCCAGGAUAAUCCAUAAGAUGGAUUUGAAAGGUUGAAAUAUAAUAUGGUCGAUU
Molecule: long non-coding RNA, 236 nt
Filed under: Elaeis guineensis (African oil palm)
Lineage: Eukaryota; Viridiplantae; Streptophyta; Magnoliopsida; Arecales; Arecaceae
Description: long non-coding RNA (EGUI_LNC041511)
Source: RNAcentral